GCCUUCGUGAUGUAAUGGUCAGCACACUGAGCCGGUAUUUCAGAGGUCCGUGGUUCGAUCCCCGGCGAAGGAA
Stegodyphus mimosarum is the source of this 73-nucleotide non-coding RNA. NCBI's taxonomy places the organism in Eukaryota, Metazoa, Arthropoda, Arachnida, Araneae, Eresidae. The record is from Rfam.